This 465-nucleotide ribosomal RNA is filed under the name uncultured bacterium. Its description in RNAcentral is "bacterial SSU rRNA". It matches the Rfam family "Bacterial small subunit ribosomal RNA", at positions 338 to 795 of the family's 1533-position model. The record is from RNAcentral.
CCUACGGGGUGCAGCAGUGGGGAAUAUUGCACAAUGGGCGCAAGCCUGAUGCAGCCAUGCCGCGUGUAUGAAGAAGGCCUUCGGGUAGUAAAGUACUUUCAGCGGGGAGGAAGGCAAUGCGGUUAAUAACCGUGUUGAUUGACGUUACCCGCAGAAGAAGCACCGGCUAACUCCGUGCCAGCAGCCGCGGUAAUACGGAGGGUGCAAGCGUUAAUCGGAAUUACUGGGCGUAAAGCGCACGCAGGCGGUCUGUCAAGUCGGAUGUGAAAUCCCCGGGCUCAACCUGGGAACUGCAUUCGAAACUGGCUGGCUUGAGUCUUGUAGGGGGGGGUAGAAUUCCAGGUGUGGCGGUGAAAUGCGUAGAGAUCUGGAGGAAUACCGGUGGCGAAGGCGGCCCCCUGGACAAAGACUGACGCUCAGGUGCGAAAGCGUGGGGAGCAAACAGGAUUAGAUACCCUCGUAGUC